GACCAACGCUGGCGGCGUGCUUAACACAUGCAAGUCGAACGGAAAGGCCCUGCUUUUGUGGGGUGCUCGAGUGGCGAACGGGUGAGUAACACGUGAGUAACCUGCCCUUGACUUUGGGAUAACUUCAGGAAACUGGGGCUAAUACCGGAUAGGAGCUCCUGCUGCAUGGUGGGGGUUGGAAAGUUUCGGCGGUUGGGGAUGGACUCGCGGCUUAUCAGCUUGUUGGUGGGGUAGUGGCUUACCAAGGCUUUGACGGGUAGCCGGCCUGAGAGGGUGACCGGCCACAUUGGGACUGAGAUACGGCCCAGACUCCUACGGGAGGCAGCAGUGGGGAAUAUUGCACAAUGGGCGGAAGCCUGAUGCAGCAACGCCGCGUGCGGGAUGACGGCCUUCGGGUUGUAAACCGCUUUCGCCUGUGACGAAGCGUGAGUGACGGUAAUGGGUAAAGAAGCACCGGCUAACUACGUG
RNAcentral lists this ribosomal RNA (468 nucleotides) under uncultured bacterium. Its description in RNAcentral is "partial 16S ribosomal RNA". It matches the Rfam family "Bacterial small subunit ribosomal RNA", at positions 28 to 507 of the family's 1533-position model. The record is from RNAcentral.